CUAUACAUGACUCUGCGCAUAUCAAUAAGCGGAGGAAAAGAAACUAACAAGGAUUCCCUUAGUAACGGCGAGUGAAGCGGGAAGAGCUCAAAUUUGAAAUCUUCAAGGUUCUACCUUGACGAAUUGUAGUUUAUAGAAGUGUUUUCUGUUAGUAGAGUGGCAAAAGUUCUUUGGAAUAGGACAUCAUAGAGGGUGAGAAUCCCGUAUUUGGUCAUUCUUUCUAGCUUUGUGAUACACUUUCAACGAGUCGGAUUGUUUGGGAACGCAGUCCAAAAUGGGUGGUAAAUUUCAUCUAAAGCUAAAUAUUGGCGAGAGACCGAUAGCGAACAAGUACCGUGAGGGAAAGAUGAAAAGAACUUUGAAAAGAGAGUUAAACAGUACGUGAAAUUGUCAAAAGGGAAGCGUUUGACACCAGUGUUGUUUUUCCGAAAAUCAAUUACGAAUGUUUUAGUUUUUGAGAAGUUAUGACUUCAUCGGCUUGCUUCUCUCUUUAUGAAACUUUCUUAAUGCACUUUUCGGUUAACAAGUCAACAUCAAUUUCUUUUGUUGUAAAAGGGUAUGAGGAAGGUGGCUUUCUUUUCGGAGAAAGUGUUUAUAGCCUUGUACCUCUGCAAUCGGAGAGAUUGAGGUCUGCAGCGUAGAUCCUUCGGGGUUAGAUACAUUUGUGCUAAGUUAUAGCUUUUCAUAGACAACUUGUUGACUAUGUUUAGUCUUGUAGCUUACUCGCUUAUGCUAUUUUACCUACGCUUAGGAUGUUGACGAUCAGCUGAGCGCG
This 775-nucleotide ribosomal RNA is filed under the name uncultured Neocallimastigales. Its description in RNAcentral is "partial large subunit ribosomal RNA". It matches the Rfam family "Eukaryotic large subunit ribosomal RNA", at positions 22 to 648 of the family's 3401-position model. The record is from RNAcentral. Lineage: Eukaryota; Fungi; Neocallimastigomycota; Neocallimastigomycetes; Neocallimastigales.